Molecule: long non-coding RNA, 893 nt
Filed under: Mytilus galloprovincialis (Mediterranean mussel)
Lineage: Eukaryota; Metazoa; Mollusca; Bivalvia; Mytilida; Mytilidae
Source: RNAcentral
ACCAACAUAGUUCACUAACAGCAAGUAUGAUUACGUUAACUCCACUUCAAUCAUCUACAACUGUUAACAUUCACUUAAAAACCACGUCAGGAUCUUUAUCUUUCAAAACCCGACAAUAUUCAUCAGGUGAAAAUAUAACUGCUGUCAUCAACAAGUAUGACACGUUAGAGAUUUCGCACACUUUUGAUUUGACCGGGACAUAUGUAACAAGCUCGGACCCAUUAGCUGUUGUGAGCGGUAAUAAAUGUAGUUAUAUAAAUGGCAUUGGCGGCUGCAAUACUUUUAUUGAAAUGGCAUUACCAAUUGAACAACUAGACAAAAUAUACAUGUUCCGCACAUUGAAACUCGUGCAAGAAGCACGGUUCGAUUGCUAAGUUUACUUCCCUCUACAAUAACUAUCAAAAACACAACUAAUAAUGUAAUGGUGAAGAACAAUGCAGAUAGAGAUUAUAUGGACUUUACUCACAGCACAAUAUCAUAUAUUAAUGCAACGAAUGAUAUCUAUGUUACAAUGUAUCCUCAUGAGAUAGCAGACAGUAAAGGAGAUGCUUUUAUGAUGACAAUACAUGGCAUUAACCAAUAUCUUCCGCAUUACAACUUUAUUGUUCCACAAGAGUUCACGAGCUUUAUAAGUGUCACUGUUUUAACUAACGAACUGAAUUGGUUCAUGCUAGAUGGCCAGAGUGUUACGACCAAAAAUGUUCAUACAUUAUCUACUGAAUCUGGUAGCCAUAGUUCCUUUUCAAUGCCAAUUACAAGUGGUGAACAUAUUAUUACACAUGUCAAUAAUACAGAAUUUGGGCUUUGGGUGUACGGAAAUGCACGCUAUGACGCAUAUGGAUAUCCAGCUGGAAUAAAGUUUAGAACAGUUUAACCGAUCUGAAACGGGAACA